This 253-nucleotide ribosomal RNA is filed under the name uncultured bacterium. RNAcentral's name for it is "partial 16S ribosomal RNA". It matches the Rfam family "Bacterial small subunit ribosomal RNA", at positions 524 to 776 of the family's 1533-position model. The record is from RNAcentral.
UACGGGGGGAGCAAGCGUUGUUCGGAUUUACUGGGCGUAAAGGGCGCGUAGGCGGCUUGACAAGUCACUUGUGAAAUCUCCGGGCUUAACUCGGAACGGCCAAGUGAAACUGUCAUGCUAGAGUGCAGAAGGGGCAAUCGGAAUUCUUGGUGUAGCGGUGAAAUGCGUAGAUAUCAAGAGGAACACCUGAGGUGAAGACGGGUUGCUGGGCUGACACUGACGCUGAGGCGCGAAAGCCAGGGGAGCAAACGGG